RNAcentral lists this ribosomal RNA (467 nucleotides) under uncultured bacterium. Its description in RNAcentral is "partial 16S ribosomal RNA". It matches the Rfam family "Bacterial small subunit ribosomal RNA", at positions 28 to 506 of the family's 1533-position model. The record is from RNAcentral.
GACGAACGCUGGCGGCGUGCUUAACACAUGCAAGUCGAACGGAAAGGCCCUGCUUUUGUGGGGUGCUCGAGUGGCGAACGGGUGAGUAACACGUGAGUAACCUGCCCUUGACUUUGGGAUAACUUCAGGAAACUGGGGCUAAUACCGGAUAGGAGCUCCUGCUGCAUGGUGGGGGUUGGAAAGUUUCGGCGGUUGGGGAUGGACUCGCGGCUUAUCAGCUUGUUGGUGGGGUAGUGGCUUACCAAGGCUUUGACGGGUAGCCGGCCUGAGAGGGUGACCGGCAACAUUGGGACGGGGAUACGGCCCAGACUCCUACGGGAGGCAGCAGGGGGGAAUAUUGCACAAUGGGCGGAAGCCUGAUGCAGCAACGCCGCGUGCGGGAUGACGGCCUUCGGGUUGUAAACCGCUUUCGCCUGUGACGAGGCGUGAGUGACGGUAAUGGGUAAAGAAGCACCGGCUAACUACGU